UCAAUCAUAGGAACUUUGAUCUCCAAUUUCUUGAAGAUCUUCAUGAAGCACAUAAAUUUCUUUUCCUUCCUAUGAUAUUUCUUUUGAUGAGGAAGGGGUUUUUCAUAUGAUCUUUUCUUUUUUCCUUUCAUCCUCUUUUUCUUACUCUCCUUCUCAUUCAACUUUCUCUUUUUCUUUUUUCUUUCUUUCUUCUUUAUUUUCGCAUAUUCUCUCUCUUUUUCUUUUCUCUCAACCACUUCUUUUUCUUUCUCAUCAUCUUUCUCUUGCUCACUCAACCUUUCUGUUUCUUUUUCCUCUAUCUUUUCCUCCUCUAUCUUCUCCUCCUUUCUCUCCAUUUUUCUCCUCUAUCUUCUCCUCAUCUAUCUCUAUCUUUUC
This 375-nucleotide long non-coding RNA is filed under the name Vigna radiata. RNAcentral describes it as "long non-coding RNA (VRAD_LNC004914)". Lineage: Eukaryota; Viridiplantae; Streptophyta; Magnoliopsida; Fabales; Fabaceae. The record is from RNAcentral.